Molecule: ribosomal RNA, 487 nt
Filed under: uncultured Desulfovibrio sp.
Lineage: Bacteria; Pseudomonadati; Thermodesulfobacteriota; Desulfovibrionia; Desulfovibrionales; Desulfovibrionaceae
Description: bacterial SSU rRNA
Rfam family: Bacterial small subunit ribosomal RNA
Source: RNAcentral
AACUCAAAGGAAUUGACGGGGGCCCGCACAAGCGGUGGAGUAUGUGGUUUAAUUCGAUGCAACGCGAAGAACCUUACCUAGGUUUGACAUCCGGAAAACCUUCCCGAAAAGGAAGGGUGCCCUUCGGGGAAUUCCGAGACAGGUGCUGCAUGGCUGUCGUCAGCUCGUGCCGUGAGGUGUUGGGUUAAGUCCCGCAACGAGCGCAACCCUAUUGCCAGUUGCUACCAGGUAAUGCUGGGCACUCUGGUGAGACUGCCCCGGUUAACGGGGAGGAAGGUGGGGACGACGUCAAGUCAUCAUGGCCCUUACGCCUAGGGCUACACACGUACUACAAUGGCGCAUACAAAGGGCAGCGAUACCGCGAGGUGGAGCCAAUCCCAAAAAGUGCGUCCCAGUCCGGAUUGCAGUCUGCAACUCGACUGCAUGAAGUUGGAAUCGCUAGUAAUUCGAGAUCAGCAUGCUCGGGUGAAUGCGUUCCCGGGCCGUU